Molecule: long non-coding RNA, 1013 nt
Organism: Alligator mississippiensis (American alligator)
Lineage: Eukaryota; Metazoa; Chordata; Crocodylia; Alligatoridae
Exons: 5
Source: RefSeq, a predicted model, not a curated record
ACCACCAAACUCAAAAAUAUAAGACUGCCUAUGAUCUGUAAACCACUCCAGCACCGCUCCCAGGAAGCGAGGCACUGCAAAUCCAGGGGAGCACAAUUAAAAAACAAAACCAAAAAAAAAAAAAGCGAAAAAAAAAAAAGCCCUCUUGUGUCUCACUCUUUUUUUUUUUUUUUCUCUCUCUCUCUCUCUCUCUCCUUUGGCCAACUAUACGCUCCUGGGUUCAAAACGGACCAGGGUUAUGAUAAAAAAAAAAAUAGAGGAGGACGGCAUGGAGCAGAGGACCUGCAACUGUCAGAGCACGGGCUGGGCAGGCUGUGGCUGGGCGACCCGCUGCCUGUGUGUGGCUCACUGUAAAUCCACCAUCUUCAGGCUGGCAAGUUGGCUUUUGGUUGGGUAUUUUUUUUUUUUUUUGGCGGGGAGGGGGGGGUGCCGUGCUUGCGAUCCCUGCCUUGGUACCUAAGGAGGAAGCGGAGGAGGAGGAGGGUGUGUGACUGAAUGAGAGCUAAAGCCUCCUCGGGACGGCGCCGCGGUGAAGCAGGCUGAACCCGAUGGCUGCGCCUCCUCUCCCGGCUGGAGCCAGUGCCCCAAGCAGCCGCGGAGAGAGCCCCCCGGCCGCCCCACUCGCAGCAUUAGAGUCCCUUGUUCAUCUACAACAGGAUGGAUACUGUGUUUAUAGAGUUCAUUCUUGACCUUACCUGAGUGAACUGUCUGUGUGUACUGCCCACCACCUUUUUAACCACUAGGACCACAGAGCCUAAUGACGACAACUAUACUGCUCUUACUCAUAGGACCAGAUCUGACUCCCAUGGACUUCAACAGCCAAGAUUAUUUCUCUAGGAAAAUAUGAUGCAACCAAGCAACAUGUAUGGAGCAGUCCCAUAUUACAGAACAGCAAAGAUGAACACAUCCAACUUUAUUAUUUCUUUUUUAAAAAUGACUCAUAACUAUUUGAUGUAAUGUGGCUCAUGUAAAUGUAUAAUGACCUGAAUAAAAAUAGUGAUGUGCAAUGUCCA